AAAGACUUAGUCCUAACCUUACGAUUGGCUCUCACCAGAUAUAUACAUGCAAGUAUCCGCACUCCAGUGUAAAUGCCCUUAAUUUGCCUACCUUAAUACAGGCCUUAAGGAGCGGGUAUCAGGCACACCCAAGCAGUAGCCCAAGACGCCUUGCACAGCCACACCCCCACGGGUAUUCAGCAGUAAUUAACAUUAAGCAAUGAGCGAAAGCUCGACUUAGUCAUGGUGACUCCCCCAAGGGUCGGUAAAUCUUGUGCCAGCCACCGCGGUCACACAAGAGACCCAAGUCAAUCGUCAAAUUCCGGCGUAAAGAGUGGGAAGAUGCCUAUCCUAUCAAACUAAGACCAAAAUGCAACUAAGCUGUCAUAAGCCAAAGAUGCCCCUAAACACACCAUAAACAUGGUCUUAGGACUUAGCGACCAAUUUGAACCCACGAAAGCCAGGGCACAAACUGGGAUUAGAUACCCCACUAUGCCUGGCCCUAAAUCCUGAUACUUACAGUACCGAAGUAUCCGCCAGAGAACUACGAGCACAAACGCUUAAAACUCUAAGGACUUGGCGGUACCCCAAACCCACCUAGAGGAGCCUGUCCUAUAACCGAUAAUCCACGAUAAACCCAACCGCCCCUUGCUCAGCACAGCCUACAUACCGCCGUCGCCAGCCCACCUCGAAUGAGAGCCCAACAGUGAGCGCAAUAGCACCCCCGCUAACAAGACAGGUCAAGGUAUAGCCCAUGGGACGGAAGAGAUGGGCUACAUUCUCUACGAUAGAGCACUACGAAAAGAAAUGUGAAACCAUUUCUGGAAGGAGGAUUUAGCAGUAAAAUAGAAUAAUAACGCCUAUUUUAAGCCGGCCCUGGGGUACGUACAUACCGCCCGUCACCCUCCUCAAAAGCCACGAUCUUACAUAACUAAUACCGCUCCAGUGCUAAAGAUGAGGUAAGUCGUAACAAGGUAAGUGUACCGGAAGGUGUACUUAGAAUAU
This 984-nucleotide non-coding RNA is filed under the name Thalassornis leuconotus. RNAcentral describes it as "partial 12S ribosomal RNA". It matches the Rfam family "Bacterial small subunit ribosomal RNA". Lineage: Eukaryota; Metazoa; Chordata; Aves; Anseriformes; Anatidae. The record is from RNAcentral.